UAGGGAAUCUUCCACAAUGGACGCAAGUCUGAUGGAGCAACGCCGCGUGAGUGAAGAAGGGUUUCGGACCGUAAAGCUCUGUUGUUGGUGAAGAAGGAUAGAGGUAGUAACUGGCCUUUAUUUGACGGUAAUCAACCAGAAAGUCACGGCUAACUACGUGCCAGCAGCCGCGGUAAUACGUAGGUGGCAAGCGUUGUCCGGAUUUAUUGGGCGUAAAGCGAGCGCAGGCGGAAGAAUAAGUCUGAUGUGAAAGCCCUCGGCUUAACCGAGGAAUUGCAUCGGAAACUGUUUUCUGAGUGCAGAAGAGGAGAGUAGAACUCCAUGUGUAGCGGUGGAAUGCGUAGAUAUAUGGAAGAAUACCAGUGGCGAAGGCGGCUCUCUGGUCUGCAACUGACGCUGAGGCUCGAAAGCAUGGGUAGCGAACAGGAUUAGAUACCCUGGUAGUCCAUGCCGUAAACGAUGAGUGCUAAGUGUUGGGAGGCUUCCGCCUCUCAGUGCUGCAGCUAACGCAUUAAGCACUCCGCCUGGGGGAGUACGACCGCAAGGUUGAAAC
RNAcentral lists this ribosomal RNA (553 nucleotides) under uncultured bacterium. Its description in RNAcentral is "partial 16S ribosomal RNA". It matches the Rfam family "Bacterial small subunit ribosomal RNA", at positions 355 to 900 of the family's 1533-position model. The record is from RNAcentral.